UUCUUUCAAUAUUAUCAUGUGUAUUCCAGAAUUUAUUAUUGUUUCACUUUCAAUUAGUACCUUGUUUAAAAUAUUCUUAAAAAGUUUUUCUUUUCUUUUAAUUUAGAAGAACACUUUUGAAGACAAAUACAAAGAUUGCAGAAGGGUAGGUAUAACUGUAUAUAAAAAGUCAUACAAUUUAUAAAAUGUCUCCUAAACUUGACUUUUUAAGAUAUCUUGUAAAAGUAUUAAGAUAUCUUGUAAAAGUAUUAAGAUAUCUUGUAUAAUAUAUUUUAUAUCGUUCAUAAACUUUACAAGAUAUAUCUCAUAAACUUCAGAAGAUAUAAGAUUUUCAAGAUAUCCAAUUAGGAGAUAAUUGUAUUGAAUUUGAAGAUUUGGAGCCAUCAAUCAUGGAUUUGAUGGUUGCAAAUUGAGUUAACUGGCGAUGUGCAUACGGAGCCAGUAAUCAGAUAUUUGUGACCAUCAAAUAAAAAAACAGGGAUAUAACUAGUGAGCAAUGUUUUAUAUUGUUUCUAUCAGAAUUCAUUAAGUAUCCAAUCUUUUGUAGGCACUUGAUUAAGUACCAGGGAAACCUUAAAGUGUGGACACAAUCCUUGAUUUAGAUGUCACCAAGAAUAAAGAAGCAAUCACCAAUAUUACAAGUUUUACACAACUUGAGAUUUGAGAGCAGUCAUUUGAGGAUGUGGCAGGCA
This 692-nucleotide long non-coding RNA is filed under the name Mytilus galloprovincialis (Mediterranean mussel). The record is from RNAcentral. Lineage: Eukaryota; Metazoa; Mollusca; Bivalvia; Mytilida; Mytilidae.